GUUCCGGCCCGCGGUGGGCGCUUGUCUUUUCGUCGGUAGCAGCGGUCUCUCACAGGCUCCGGGCUGCAGCUCCGAUCUGCUUGAUGCGAGUCCGCCGGCGCUGGCAGGGACGAAGCCUGCUACCUGGUGACUGGUCCCCGGCAUGGAGAGACAAAUCUCGGCUGAUCACCGCAGCAUCCGCAGAUGGUUGACAGCGGUUGCAGAGUAGAUUAAGUGCGUGAAAGGCGCCUGGGGACAUUCAGCUUGUGUGAGGAGCAGUGAAUGGAUCGUGGGUGCUCCGAGUGCUAACGGGGGUCUUCCUGAUCUCAGGGUCAGUCUGUGGCUUGCCUUCGCCGGCUGGUUGUUUCUCUGAGCGUUUCAUUUGGCUUGGCCUCACAUGGAGUGAUUGGGGGAGAUUUGCUUCUUUGGGUUUUGUAUUGGACAUGUAUUUAAGAAAAAACUGGACUCUGGCAAAACUUCUGCUACUAAAAAUUGUUUUAAAAAAAAUGACUUUCUGCAUGUGUGACCUAGGGGGGCACAAGCGGGUGCUUGGGCUGACAGGCACAGCCUGGCUAAGCAGCCCAGUGUAGCCUGCAGGAACGCCAUGCCCGAUGCUGUCCAGUUGUGUACUUGGUGCCAGGUGAGCAUCAGUAAAACUCCCAGAAGAUAGAGAAAGAAACACUGAGCUUGACAGCUGUGGUUGGCAGUGAGGGGAGGCCCAGUCCAAUCAGAAAGUGGCUUCGGCUGUGCUGCUGCAUGAAAAUACAGCAGAGCAUUCUGGGAAUCGUAUGCUCCUUAGCUGCAGGAACAUGAUUUCUCCAUUGCCCCCGGCCCCCUGCAGCUGUGCCAUGUCUAGACAUGACCAGAUGGGGUGUCGGUACCUCAGUGGCCUUUCCUGCCAAACGCCCUUCCUUGUCUCCCAGGUGACACGUGCCUUGGUGCCGUGUGUCACACGUGUGACUCUGCCACCUUGGUGCCGUGUGACACACGUGUGACUCUGCCGCCUCGGUGCCGUGUGUCACACGUGUGACUCUGCCGCCUCGGUGCCGUGUGUCACACGUGUGACUCUACCGCCUCGGUGCCGUGUGACACACGUGUGACACUGCCGCCUCGGUGCCGUGUGACACACGUGUGACACUGCCGCCUCGGUGCCGUGUGUCACACGUGUGACUCUGCCGCCUCGGUGCCGUGUGACACACGUGUGACUCUGCCGCCUCGGUGCCGUGUGUCACACGGGUGACUCUGCCGCCUCGGUGCCGUGUGUCACACGUGUGACUCUGCCGCCUCGGUGCCGUGUGUCACACGUGUGACUCUGCCGCCUCGGUGCCGUGUGUCACACGUGUGACUCUGCCGCCUCGGUGCCGUGUGUCACACGUGUGACUCUGCCGCCUCGGUGCCGUGUGACACACGUGUGACUCGGCCGCCUUGGUGCCGUGUGUCACACGUGUGACUCUGCCGCCUUGGUGCCGUGUGACACACGUGUGACUCGGCUGCCUUGAGUCUUGGUUCUCUCGGCUCUCGUACCCAGCUCUUGUUCUUCUGGCAUGUGGGGGUGGGUUCCUGCCCAGAACAGUCAUUGUGCACUUAUCCAGGCCAGCAGGGCUCCAGGGUGUCACCUUGGGGUGUGAUGGGGCAAUCAAAGCAGCGUGUUCCAGCCCUCCGAGUAUCGCCUGCACCCCACACCACGUUUUCAUGAGUUGGACUCAACUAGGAUGGAAUACAGGCCAACAUAAUCCAUCGGAACGAUUAAGAGAAAUGGGCUGUCUGAGAUGAUCUGUGCAUAGGGGUGUCAUGCUUGUGAUGAGUCACUCUGGGAUUGAGGCUUCUCAGGCCCCGUUUCACUUAGGACAGCUGAGGUGUAGAUAAGCGGAGAGACCAGCCCUUGGAGGUGUAGAUGAGCGGAGAGACCAGCCCUUGGAGGUGUAGAUGAGCGGAGAGACCGGGCCCCCCGGAGGUGUAGAUGAGCGGAGAGACCGGGCCCCCCGGAGGUGUAGAUGAGCGGAGAGACCGGGCCCCCCGGAGGUGUAGAUGAGCGGAGAGACCGGGCCCCCCGGAGGUGUAGAUGAGCGGAGAGACCAGCCCUUGGAGGUGUAGAUGAGCGGAGAGACCAGCCCUUGGAGGUGUAGAUGAGCGGAGAGACCGGGCCCCCCGGAGGUGUAGAUGAGCGGAGAGACCGGGCCCCCCGGAGGUGUAGAUGAGCGGAGAGACCGGGCCCCACGGAGGUGUAGAUGAGCGGAGAGACCGGGCCCCCCGGAGGUGUAGAUGAGCGGAGAGACCGGGCCCCCCGGAGGUGUAGAUGAGCGGAGAGACCGGGCCCCCCGGAGGUGUAGAUGAGCGGAGAGACCGGGCCCCCCGGAGGUGUAGAUGAGCGGAGAGACCGGGCCCCCCGGAGGUGUAGAUGAGUGGACGUGGUAAGAGAUGCCCUCUCCUUUGAAAUUGCCUCUCUGUCCCCCCCCACCACCCGACCCA
This is a long non-coding RNA of Brienomyrus brachyistius, 2448 nucleotides long. RefSeq lists it as uncharacterized. The record is from RefSeq and is a predicted model, not a curated record. Lineage: Eukaryota; Metazoa; Chordata; Actinopteri; Osteoglossiformes; Mormyridae. The transcript is spliced from 3 exons.